UUCUUCUUAUGCGAUCGAUGUGAUCGUUAGGUAGUCUGGUCAACUUCGUUAUCGGCGUCUUCUCUUUUUAAAGUUGUAUUUAAAUGGUUCAAAAUUAUUAUUUUUGUUUGUUUGUUAUAAACUUGGAACAUUAUUUCCCAAGUAAUGCAACGUAGUGUAGAUGUUGUGUUAUCAAUUUAAAGCAGUAUAUUUUUCUUUUCUUUUUUUUUAAGUUUGAAAAAAUGAAUCGAAAGGUAAACUAAUCUCAUUAUCUUAUGGCAAAUUAAAUGUCUACAUUUACUAACUAUAAUUAAGAACUUAAUAGGCUGUUUACCAACUCCAAAGUGGAUUUUCUUUUUACUGUAAAAAGUUAGUAUUUUGUUAGAUGAAUUUUAUUUAGUUAAAGGAAAAGAAUUGCGUUUGUUUAAAAAUCUAUAUUUAGAUUAUUCCUAUUUUGCAUGAACUGUGGGAAGGAAAAAAAUGAAAUACGUAAGAAGGAAGACAAAGGACAUAAAGAUCUUGAUGAAAUGCUCUCUCAUUGCUUUGACUUUGUUAAAGCACAAUCUCAAGAUGAGGGAGAGAUGAGUUAUCAUGUCCGACCAUGUUAGCUCUGAUUUUUUUUUUUUUUGUUGAUACAUCCGAACUAAAAAAGUAGAUGUCAAAAGAGUAUUUUAAACUUUUUUGGUAAACGUUAAUCUUUCUUUCAUGAUCUUACUUUUAAGGAAAUAGUCCCAACUUUACUUGAUAUUACAAUUCCUACUUUGACAAUACAGUAAAUAAAAUAUGGUCCAUACAAGAAGCGAGAAGUAUCUAACAGCUGAAUUACGACCCAUUUGCGUUAGAUUAGAUUAUAUAGCACAAGUCCAACAGUCUCUAAUCCUGUUUUCCUAUAUUUGUGAUUCUGUAUCAGGAUCAUGGCCGAAAGAUUUUUUUUUUAAGGAAUCUAAUUUACAAUUUUGAGACAAAUAACUAUCGGUGUUACAAAAAAAAAAAAGAAAAAAAAGAGACAAAUAACUAUCGUGGAAUUUUGAAAAAUGGUCGCAAAAUGAUUAUGUCAGACAGUCAUCCCCUAACAAGAUCAGUGCAUGUCAAUAUGAUUAGCCUGGCCCGAUCCAUCUUUUUUUUUUUGAACAACGGCCCGAUCCAUCUAAAAUAAACAAAACAUACAUAAUGUUUAGUCUUGGUUAAUUUGACUCGACUGUAUUCAGAUUUACAUCGUGAAAUCCAAUCUGAUUCGGACAUGGUUACAUGCUAAUGUAUAACGAUUUGGAUUUGAUAUUUUUUUACAAGCGUCAUUUUAAUGUAUGAGUCUCUUAAUUAUAUAGUAUAAAUGUAAUUAAAUUACAAAACAAAAUUUAUAACAUAAAGAAAAUUUCGAAUUUUCAUAAUUUUUGAUAAAUUUUCAAGUAAAAAAGCUCACUCUGCUCUUCUUUCAGUUUGUGGGUUUUAAUUAAUAAACUGUUUUGAUAAAUUAUUAAAAUUAAAUAUAC
This is a long non-coding RNA of Brassica rapa (field mustard), 1469 nucleotides long. RefSeq lists it as uncharacterized. The record is from RefSeq and is a predicted model, not a curated record. Lineage: Eukaryota; Viridiplantae; Streptophyta; Magnoliopsida; Brassicales; Brassicaceae.